RNAcentral lists this non-coding RNA (23 nucleotides) under Arabidopsis thaliana (thale cress). Lineage: Eukaryota; Viridiplantae; Streptophyta; Magnoliopsida; Brassicales; Brassicaceae. The record is from RNAcentral.
GGUAUACCCCUUGAAGCCUUGUC